Molecule: long non-coding RNA, 556 nt
Filed under: Sorghum bicolor (sorghum)
Lineage: Eukaryota; Viridiplantae; Streptophyta; Magnoliopsida; Poales; Poaceae
Description: long non-coding RNA (SBIC_LNC009499)
Source: RNAcentral
GUCUGGAUAUCAUUAUCUUUUGGCAAGGUCUAUGAUUAAUUGUUAGUUUUCUUUUUGCUUUUUUUGUUUUCCGUGUAAUACUUGGGUGUGACCCAUUUUAAUUCGCGAACCUAUGCAUGAGCUUAUUUGGCUGAAAAAAAGAGUGAAGUCUAAUGGUAUCAGAUAUAUUGGGUUGGGAUACUCUCACUAGCCAUUUACUAGUAUAAUGAUUGUACUGCCGCCACGGCUUUAUUUUAGGAUGCACAUAAAAACAAACGUGUUUUCUCCUAGUUCAACUUUUAUACAAUUUUAUUUGAUCAUGUAUACAAUCUAGCAAACACUUUUACUUAAGAAGGCAUAAUAAAGUUAUAUCUCGCAUUAACCAUCUAGGUUACAUUAUUCUACCUAAGUCCUUAAACAUGACUUAGAGAUCUUCAAGGAAGCUAUCAAAGUAUUCAUUUGCACAACUCUUCAAAAUAUUUGGCAAGAAUUACACCCCCAGUGAAUUUUAUAGUUGUGCAUAAGGGCACUCACAAUGCAGACUCUAUCAUGGAGUCUAAAGUUAUUUAUUACCUCG